RNAcentral lists this ribosomal RNA (499 nucleotides) under uncultured bacterium. Its description in RNAcentral is "partial 16S ribosomal RNA". It matches the Rfam family "Bacterial small subunit ribosomal RNA", at positions 28 to 507 of the family's 1533-position model. The record is from RNAcentral.
GACGAACGCUGGCGGCGUGCCUAAUACAUGCAAGUCGAGCGAAGUUUUUCUGGUGCUUGCACCGGAAAAACUUAGCGGCGAACGGGUGAGUAACACGUAAAGAACCUGCCUCAUAGACUGGGACAACUAUUGGAAACGAUAGCUAAUACCGGAUAACAGCAUUAACUGCAUGGUUGAUGUUUAAAAGUUGGUUUUGCUAACACUAUGAGAUGGCUUUGCGGUGCAUUAGCUAGUUGGUGGGGUAAAGGCCUACCAAGGCGACGAUGCAUAGCCGACCUGAGAGGGUGAUCGGCCACACUGGGACUGAGACACGGCCCAGACUCCUAAGGGAGGCAGCAGUAGGGAAUCUUCCGCAAUGGGCGAAAGCCUGACGGAGCAACGCCGCGUGAGUGAAGAAGGAUUUCGGUUCGUAAAGCUCUGUUGUUAGGGAAGAAUGAUUGUGUAGUAACUAUACACAGUAGAGACGGUACCUAACCAGAAAGCCACGGCUAACUACGUG